Non-coding RNA from Caretta caretta (loggerhead turtle), 272 nucleotides. NCBI's taxonomy places the organism in Eukaryota, Metazoa, Chordata, Testudines, Cheloniidae. The record is from RefSeq and is a predicted model, not a curated record.
CCCCCUGUGUGGAUUCUCUGAUGAUUAGAAAGGGCUGAGCUCCUAAUGAAGCUUUUCCCACAUUCACUGCAUUCGUAGGGCCUCUCCCCUGUGUGGAUUCUCUGAUGAUUAGAAAGGGCUGAGCUCCUAAUGAAGCUUUUCCCACACUCACUGCAUUCAUAGGGCCUCUCCCCUGUGUGGAUUCUCUGAUGGUGAAAAAGGCCUGAUCUUUGAAUGAAGCUUUUCCCACACUCACUGCAUUCAUAGGGCUUCUCCCCCGUGUGGAUUCUCUG